This 724-nucleotide ribosomal RNA is filed under the name uncultured bacterium. RNAcentral describes it as "bacterial SSU rRNA". It matches the Rfam family "Bacterial small subunit ribosomal RNA", at positions 28 to 776 of the family's 1533-position model. The record is from RNAcentral.
GAUGAACGCUGACAGAAUGCUUAACACAUGCAAGUCUACUUGAUCCUUCGGGUGAUGGUGGCGGACGGGUGAGUAACGCGUAAAGAACUUGCCCUGCAGUCUAGGACAACAUUUGGAAACGAAUGCUAAUACCGGAUAUUAUGUGAGUUUCGCAUGAAAUUCAUAUGAAAGCUAUAUGCGCUGCAGGAGAGCUUUGCGUCCUAUUAGCUAGUUGGUGAGGUAACGGCUCACCAAGGCGAUGAUAGGUAGCCGGCCUGAGAGGGUGAACGGCCACAAGGGGACUGAGACACGGCCCUUACUCCUACGGGAGGCAGCAGUGGGGAAUAUUGGACAAUGGACCAAAAGUCUGAUCCAGCAAUUCUGUGUGCACGAUGAAGUUUUUCGGAAUGUAAAGUGCUUUCAGUUGGGACGAAGUAAGUGACGGUACCAACAGAAGAAGCGACGGCUAAAUACGUGCCAGCAGCCGCGGUAAUACGUAUGUCGCAAGCGUUAUCCGGAUUUAUUGGGCGUAAAGCGCGUCUAGGCGGUUUGGUAAGUCUGAUGUGAAAAUGCGGGGCUCAACUCCGUAUUGCGUUGGAAACUGCCAAACUAGAGUACUGGAGAGGUGGGCGGAACUACAAGUGUAGAGGUGAAAUUCGUAGAUAUUUGUAGGAAUGCCGAUGGGGAAGCCAGCCCACUGGACAGAUACUGACGCUAAAGCGCGAAAGGGUGGGUAGCAAACAGG